RNAcentral lists this long non-coding RNA (231 nucleotides) under Elaeis guineensis (African oil palm). RNAcentral's name for it is "long non-coding RNA (EGUI_LNC026034)". Lineage: Eukaryota; Viridiplantae; Streptophyta; Magnoliopsida; Arecales; Arecaceae. The record is from RNAcentral.
AGCGGCCAUUCUGGUCUCCUUAGCCACAGCUUUGGCAACGACGGACUUGACAAUCUCCUGAGCCUUCGGGCAUGAGUGGUCAUAAUACUGCGGGUAGAGGUACCCACCACCACUAGCAGCAAAGCAAAGAGGAACGAGAGCAAGAACUGAGAAAAUUACUGCGAAGUUGUUGGACAUGGCCAUUUUGUCUCUCUUCUUCCUCUUCUAAGGAACCUACACUCUGUUCUAAGA